This 341-nucleotide ribosomal RNA is filed under the name uncultured Streptococcus sp. RNAcentral's name for it is "bacterial SSU rRNA". It matches the Rfam family "Bacterial small subunit ribosomal RNA", at positions 1040 to 1382 of the family's 1533-position model. The record is from RNAcentral. Lineage: Bacteria; Bacillati; Bacillota; Bacilli; Lactobacillales; Streptococcaceae.
GGUGCAUGGUUGUCGUCAGCUCGUGUCGUGAGAUGUUGGGUUAAGUCCCGCAACGAGCGCAACCCCUAUUGUUAGUUGCCAUCAUUCAGUUGGGCACUCUAGCGAGACUGCCGGUAAUAAACCGGAGGAAGGUGGGGAUGACGUCAAAUCAUCAUGCCCCUUAUGACCUGGGCUACACACGUGCUACAAUGGUUGGUACAACGAGUUGCGAGUCGGUGACGGCGAGCUAAUCUCUUAAAGCCAAUCUCAGUUCGGAUUGUAGGCUGCAACUCGCCUACAUGAAGUCGGAAUCGCUAGUAAUCGCGGAUCAGCACGCCGCGGUGAAUACGUUCCCGGGCCUU